UCAAACACCAACUUAGUCUCAAAACCUAGUGCAAAGAAUCCCAACCCAGUUCUUCAAACCAGCCUGUCCUUCUCUCUCCUCCAGGCGGCGACGGGGAGUCUUCCUUUUUUGCUUUAACUCACUCGAAUAAUAUAUGGAGCGAUAUCUUCUCUCUUAGUGCAGAAGUCUGUGUCCCAAAUGGCUAAAAUGGUGGUUCUAAGACACAUUACUUCAAAGCGAUCAUUAUCAACUUUUCCUUUUCUCUCUCAGAGAAUUAAACAAACAGAAAAAGAAAUAGUUGAAAUGUUCAAGGUACCCAGUUCAAAGGAUGAUGAAAUGCAAAACUUGCCCACGCAAAAUAUCAAGUUCUCGAGGAGAGACCCUUCGGUUAGGACAUUAGAUGAGAGGUUUAUAAGGAUUUUGAAGAUAUUUAAGUGGGGACCUGAUGCUGAAAAGGCCUUGGAAGUGCUCAAGUUGAAAGUGGAUCAUCGAUUGGUUCGUGAGGUUUUGAAGAUAGAUGUUGAGAUUAAUGUUAAGAUUCAGUUUUUCAAGUGGGCUGGCAAGAGGAGGAAUUUUGAGCACGAUUUGACUACUUAUAUGCCUCUAAUCCGUUGUUUGGAUGACUGUGGGUUAUUUGGUGAAAUGUGGAAGAUGAUCCAAGAAAUGGUCAGGAGCCCGACGUGUGUUAUUGGUCCGGCUGAUUUGUCUGAAGUUGUGAAGAUAUUGGGCAAGGCCAAGAUGGUGAAUAAGGCACUUUCUGUCUUCUACCAGAUAAAGAGUCGCAAGUGCAAACCAACGGCGAGCACCUACAACUCUAUGAUUUUGAUGUUGAUGCAAGAAGGGCAUUAUGAAAAAAUUCACGAGCUUUACCAUGAGAUGUGUAAUGAGGGUGACUGUUUUCCAGACACAAUGACAUAUAGUGUGCUUGUUUCGGCGUUUGGGAAAUUGGGUCGGGAUGAUUAUGCUAUAAGGUUGUUCGAUGAGAUGAAGGCCAAUGGCUUGCAUCCAACUGCAAAGAUUUAUACUACCUUGCUGGCAAUCUACUUCAAGUUAGGUGAUGAGAAAGCUUUGGGUUUGGUGCAAGAGAUGAAGGAUAAGGGCUGUGCACCUACCGUCUUCACUUACACCGAGUUGAUUAAGGGACUAGGAAAAUCUGGGAGGGUUGAAGAUGCUUACAGUGUAUUCUUGAAUAUGUUAAAGGAUGGUUGUAAGCCUGAUGUUGUGCUGAUAAACAAUUUGAUCAACAUUUUUGGAAAAGCAGGUCGCUUGGAAGAUGCGCUUAAGCUUUUUGACCAGAUGAGGUCUUGGAAGUGCGCGCCAAAUGUGGUUACAUACAACACUGUAAUUAAGGCUUUAUUUGAAUCCAAAGCUCCAGCUUCCGAGGCUGCUUCAUGGUUUGAGAAGAUGAAGGCAAAUGGUGUUACUCCCAGCUCGUUUACGUACUCAAUUCUUAUUGAUGGUUUUUGCAAAACAAAUAGAAUUGAGAAAGCUUUGUUGCUUCUUGAAGAGAUGGAUGAAAAGGGUUUUCCGCCUUGUCCAGCUGCCUAUUGCAGCCUUAUCAACGCUCUUGGAAAGGCAAAACGAUAUGAAGCUGCAAAUGAGUUAUUUCUGGAGUUGAAAGAGAAUUGUGGACGUUCAAGUGCUCGUAUAUAUGCUGUGAUGAUAAAAAAUCUUGGAAAGUGUGGCCGUCCGAGUGAGGCAGUAGAUCUUUUCAACGAGAUGAAGAAAAUUGGAUGCAAUCCUGAUGUUUAUGCUUACAAUGCACUCAUGUCAGGGUUGGUAAGGGCUGGUAUGAUAGAAGAAGCUUUUUCUGCGCUCAGAACCAUGGAAGAAAAUGGUUGCACUCCAGACAUAAACUCGCAUAACAUUAUUCUAAAUGGCCUGGCUAGGACAGGUCGCCCAGAACAGGCAACUGAAAUGUUUAUGAAGAUGAAAGAUUCGUUGAUCAAGCCAGAUGCAGUGUCGUAUAACACCAUUCUUGGCAGUCUGAGCCGCUCUGGCAUGUUUGAGGAGGCUGCAAAGCUGAUGAGAGAGAUGGGUUCAAGAGGAUUUGAAUAUGAUCACAUCACUUACUCAUCAAUUCUUGAGGCGGUUGGUAAGGUUGAUGAAGAUGAUGAACCCAACUUUCCAUGAAGGAGACCUGGUCCUUUUGGUUUGUUCACGUAGACUUUGGAGGAAUGCAAUCUUCACCAAGUUGAAAAAACCCUUAACAGCUUAAGGGUUGCCCCUUGCUUUACUAGGACCACCAGUUUAUCAAAUAAAUCGACGAACUUUUUACCAAGCAUGAACUUUUACCAAGAACGAGUGUGAUUGGUUUUGAUUUGGGCUGAGAACUGCACUGUUGCUGUUAUCAGGCAAAGUGGCAUUGGUGUUGUGCUUAACAAUGAAUCAUUUGGAAAUGGAGGGAUAACUGGUUAGAGGGUUUUGGGCCGCUGGAGCAACAUGCUACUCAAAUCAUUUCGGAGGAGUUGGUUAAUGCUUCUGUUGCGGAUAUGGUGAUCAAUAAUGAGCAAUGGAGCUGGGAAUCUUUUCUCACUUGCUCCCCAUGCAGAUAGUGUUGAUCAUGGCUAAUUACCUUCCCCCCUCAAGUGCUAUGGAAAAGGAGGCGGUUUAUUGGUGAAACACCACAUCAGGUGCAUUUACUACUCAGUCUGCAUAUGAUGCACAAAUUAAUGAAGUGAAUUCUAGUCAUCGCAAGGAUCCUAUUUGGCGAUUGGUUUUGAAAUGGAAAGGUCUAGAGUGGAUCAAGGCAUUCUUAUGGACAGUGGCUCAAAAUGGUUUGUUGACAAAUGAGGCUUGAGUGCGUUGACAUUUUACAGAGAAUCCUAGUUGCCAUCGUUGCUUAGGGGAAACAGAGAGCACGUUGCUUGCACUUAGAGACUGCCCUAUUGCUACUAUUAUUUGGAAUUCUCUUGUUAAACCACGGGACAAGGAAAUGCUUUUUAGUGCAGGAGAGACCACUUGGCUGUUAAGAAGCCUCUCGGCUUGUGAUGAGGCCACAGCAGUAGUUACUUGGUCUACAGUAUUUGGAGUAACAAUCUGGUACUGGCGGAAGUUUAGAAACCAAAGAAUUUUUGCCAAUGAUUCUAUGUCUCACACUUGUCCCUUGAACGUGAUUAAGAGUCUAGUAGCAGACAUAAAACGUACCAAUGAGGUAGAUGGCGGAGCUUGUAGCAAUAUGAAGUGAGUUGGAUUGGUUGGAAAUACCCUCCAAGGGAGUGGAUGAAGCUUAAUGUUGAUGAUAGUAGAAAGGGAAAUUCUGGGUGCUCCGGAGCAGAUGGACUCAUUCGGGACAGUAAUGGAUCUUGAAUUGUUGGAUUUGCUAUAAAUACUGGUGUGGGAAUCUCAGUUAGAGCUGAGCUAUGUGCAAUUACUGCUGGAUUAGAGAGUAUUACCAAACUGAUUAUUGAAUGGGAUUCUGAGCUGGUGAUAGAUUGCAUUACAAAGGAGUCAAUUAAAAUGGAUGCGAACUAUAUUUUAAUUGUCAAAGCAAGGGAACUAUUAAAAAGAGAUUGGGAAGUGGUAGCGCAACAUGCAUUCAGGGAAGCCAAUUUAGUAGCAGACUGUUUAGCAAACUUUGGGUUAAGUAAAGAUCUAUUUGACAGGGGAUUGGGAAUAAUUACCAAUCCUCCUUUAAUCUUAAACUCUUUCUUGUAUUUCGAUCUCAUUGGGUCCAUUUUUUCUCGUUUGAUUUAAUCUAGAGCUAAUCUAGCUCUAACUUGAAAAAAAAAGAAA
Molecule: RNA transcript, 3714 nt
Organism: Populus nigra (black poplar)
Lineage: Eukaryota; Viridiplantae; Streptophyta; Magnoliopsida; Malpighiales; Salicaceae
Gene name: pentatricopeptide repeat-containing protein At3g16010
Exons: 4
Source: RefSeq, a predicted model, not a curated record